GACGAACGCUGGCGGCGGGCUUAACACAUGCAAGUCGAACGGAAAGGCCCUGCUUGUGUGGGGUGCUCGAGUGGCGAACGGGUGAGUAACACGUGAGUAACCUGCCCUUGACUUUGGGAUAACUUCAGGAAACUGGGGCUAAUACCGUAUAGGAUCUCCUGCUGCAUGGUGGGGGGUGGAAAUUUUCGGCGGGUGGGGAUGGACUCGCGGCUUAUCAGCUUGCUGGUGGGGUAGUGGCUUACCAAGGCUUUGACGGGUAGCCGGCCUGAGAGGGUGAACGGCGACAUUGGGACUGAGAUAGGGAGCAGACUGCUACGGGAGGCAGUAGUGGGGAGUAUUGCACAAUGGGCGGACGUCUGAUGCAGCAACGUCGCGUGUGGGAUGACGGCCUUCGGGGUGUAAAAAGCUUUAGCCUGUGACGCAGCGUGAGUGACGGUAAUGGGUAAAGAAGCACCGGCUAACUACGUG
Molecule: ribosomal RNA, 468 nt
Filed under: uncultured bacterium
Lineage: Bacteria
Description: partial 16S ribosomal RNA
Rfam family: Bacterial small subunit ribosomal RNA
Source: RNAcentral